UAAUACAUGCAAGUCGAACGAACCAUCCUGAAGAUUGAAGCUUGCUUCAUGAUUCAGACCUUGGUGAGUGGCGGACGGGUGAGUAACACGUGGGUAACCUGCCCAAAAGUGGGGGAUAACAUCUGGAAACAGGUGCUAAUACCGCAUAACAACUACUUUCUCAUGAUCGUAGCUUGAAAGAUGGCUCUGCUAUCGCUUUUGGAUGGACCCGCGGCGUAUUAGCUAGUUGGUGAGGUAAUAGCUCACCAAGGCAAUGAUACGUAGCCGACCUGAGAGGGUAAUCGGCCACAUUGGGACUGAGACACGGCCCAAACUCCUACGGGAGGCAGCAGUAGGGAAUCUUCCACAAUGGGCGAAAGCCUGAUGGAGCAAUGCCGCGUGAGUGAAGAAGGUUUUCGGAUCGUAAAACUCUGUUGUUGAAGAAGAACAUGCGUGAGAGUAACUGUUCACGUACUGACGGUAUUCAACCAGAAAGCCACGGCUAACUACGUGCCAGCAGCCGCGGUAAUACGUAGGUGGCAAGCGUUGUCCGGAUUUAUUGGGCGUAAAGAGAAUGUAGGCGGUUUAUUAAGUUUGAAGUGAAAGCCCUCGGCUCAACCGAGGAAGUGCUUCGAAAACUGGUAAACUUGAGUGCAGAAGAGGAAAGUGGAACUCCAUGUGUAGCGGUGGAAUGCGUAGAUAUAUGGAAGAACACCAGUGGCGAAGGCGGCUUUCUGGUCUGUAACUGACGCUGAGAUUC
RNAcentral lists this ribosomal RNA (739 nucleotides) under Lactobacillus sp. RNAcentral's name for it is "bacterial SSU rRNA". It matches the Rfam family "Bacterial small subunit ribosomal RNA", at positions 49 to 754 of the family's 1533-position model. Lineage: Bacteria; Bacillati; Bacillota; Bacilli; Lactobacillales; Lactobacillaceae. The record is from RNAcentral.